UAAUGGUAAAACACCGUUUCCCGUACGAUCACCAAAGUUAAGCAACGUCGAGCCUGAUUAGUAUCUAUCUGGGUGACCGCUUGGGAAAACCGGGUACUGUAAG
Acanthosepion pharaonis is the source of this 103-nucleotide non-coding RNA. The record is from the annotation of a GenBank genome assembly. NCBI's taxonomy places the organism in Eukaryota, Metazoa, Mollusca, Cephalopoda, Sepiida, Sepiidae.